RNAcentral lists this ribosomal RNA (566 nucleotides) under uncultured archaeon. RNAcentral's name for it is "bacterial SSU rRNA". It matches the Rfam family "Archaeal small subunit ribosomal RNA", at positions 312 to 879 of the family's 1478-position model. The record is from RNAcentral.
CGCGAUUCGCCCUUCGGGGUGCCCAGGCGCGAAAACUUUACAAUGCUGGCAACAGCGAUAAGGGGACCUCGAGUGCCAGGUUACAAAUCUGGCUGUCGUGAUGCCUAAAAAGCAUUGCAUAGCAAGGGCCGGGCAAGACCGGUGCCAGCCGCCGCGGUAACACCGGCGGCUCGAGUGGUAACCGUUAUUAUUGGGUCUAAAGGGUCUGUAGCCGGCCGGAUAAGUCUCUUGGGAAAUCCAGCAGCUCAACUGUUGGGCUUUCAGGAGAUACUGUCUGGCUCGAGGCCGGGAGAGGUGAGAGGUACUUCAGGGGUAGGGGUGAAAUCUUGUAAUCCUUGAAGGACCACCAGUGGCGAAGGCGUCUCACCAGAACGGACCUGACGGCAAGGGACGAAAGCUAGGGGCACGAACCGGAUUAGAUACCCGGGUAGUCCUAGCCGUAAACGAUACUCGCUAGGUGUCGGCCACGGUGCGACCGUUGUCGGUGCCGUAGGGAAGCCGUGAAGCGAGCCACCUGGGAAGUACGGCCGCAAGGCUGAAACUUAAAGGAAUUGGCGGGGGAGCAC